RNAcentral lists this unclassified non-coding RNA (89 nucleotides) under Pseudomonas yamanorum. The record is from RNAcentral. Lineage: Bacteria; Pseudomonadati; Pseudomonadota; Gammaproteobacteria; Pseudomonadales; Pseudomonadaceae.
UGUGGGAGCGGGCUUGCUCGCGAAUGCAGUGUGUCAGUCACCUGGUUGUCGGCUGAUCCACCGCAUUCGCGAGCAAGCCCGCUCCCACA